UACAGAGGGUGCAAGCGUUAAUCGGAAUUACUGGGCGUAAAGCGUGCGCAGGCGGUUUGCUAAGUCCGAUGUGAAAUCCCCGGGCUUAACCUGGGAACUGCAUUGGUGACUGGCAAGCUAGAGUGUGGCAGAGGGGGGUAGAAUUCCACGUGUAGCAGUGAAAUGCGUAGAGAUGUGGAGGAAUACCGAUGGCGAAGGCAGCCCCCUGGGCCAACACUGACGCUCAUGCACGAAAGCGUGGGGAGCAAACAGG
This 253-nucleotide ribosomal RNA is filed under the name uncultured bacterium. Its description in RNAcentral is "partial 16S ribosomal RNA". It matches the Rfam family "Bacterial small subunit ribosomal RNA", at positions 524 to 776 of the family's 1533-position model. The record is from RNAcentral.